AUUGAACGCUGGCGGCAGGCUUAACACAUGCAAGUCGAGCGGGGUGAUGGUGCUUGCACUAUCACUUAGCGGCGGACGGGUGAGUAAUGCUUAGGAAUCUGCCUAUUAGUGGGGACAACAUCUCGAAAGGGAUGCUAAUACCGCAUACGUCCUACGGGAGAAAGCAGGGGAUCACUUGUGACCUUGCGCUAAUAGAUGAGCCUAAGUCGGAUUAGCUAGUUGGUGGGGUAAAGGCCUACCAAGGCGACGAUCUGUAGCGGGUCUGAGAGGAGGAUCCGCCACACUGGGACUGAGACACGGCCCAGACUCCUACGGGAGGCAGCAGUGGGGAAUAUUGGACAAUGGGGGGAACCCUGAUCCAGCCAUGCCGCGUGUGUGAAGAAGGCCUUAUGGUUGUAAAGCACUUUAAGCGAGGAGGAGGCUCUUUUGGUUAAUACCCAAAAUGAGUGGACGUUACUCGCAGAAUAAGCACCGGCUAACUCUGUGCCAGCCGCCGCCGUAA
RNAcentral lists this ribosomal RNA (502 nucleotides) under uncultured bacterium. RNAcentral describes it as "partial 16S ribosomal RNA". It matches the Rfam family "Bacterial small subunit ribosomal RNA", at positions 30 to 523 of the family's 1533-position model. The record is from RNAcentral.